This 1459-nucleotide ribosomal RNA is filed under the name Enterobacter cloacae. RNAcentral describes it as "16S ribosomal RNA". It matches the Rfam family "Bacterial small subunit ribosomal RNA". The record is from RNAcentral. Lineage: Bacteria; Pseudomonadati; Pseudomonadota; Gammaproteobacteria; Enterobacterales; Enterobacteriaceae.
UGAGUUUGAUCCUGGCUCAGAUUGAACGCUGGCGGCAGGCCUAACACAUGCAAGUCGAACGGUAGCACAGAGAGCUUGCUCUCGGGUGACGAGUGGCGGACGGGUGAGUAAUGUCUGGGAAACUGCCUGAUGGAGGGGGAUAACUACUGGAAACGGUAGCUAAUACCGCAUAACGUCGCAAGACCAAAGAGGGGGACCUUCGGGCCUCUUGCCAUCAGAUGUGCCCAGAUGGGAUUAGCUAGUAGGUGGGGUAACGGCUCACCUAGGCGACGAUCCCUAGCUGGUCUGAGAGGAUGACCAGCCACACUGGAACUGAGACACGGUCCAGACUCCUACGGGAGGCAGCAGUGGGGAAUAUUGCACAAUGGGCGCAAGCCUGAUGCAGCCAUGCCGCGUGUAUGAAGAAGGCCUUCGGGUUGUAAAGUACUUUCAGCGGGGAGGAAGGUGUUGUGGUUAAUAACCGCAGCAAUUGACGUUACCCGCAGAAGAAGCACCGGCUAACUCCGUGCCAGCAGCCGCGGUAAUACGGAGGGUGCAAGCGUUAAUUGGAAUUACUGGGCGUAAAGCGCACGCAGGCGGUCUGUCAAGUGGAUGUGAAAUCCCCGGGCUCAACCUGGGAACUGCAUUCGAAACUGGCAGGCUAGAGUCUUGUAGAGGGGGGUAGAAUUCCAGGUGUAGCGGUGAAAUGCGUAGAGAUCUGGAGGAAUACCGGUGGCGAAGGCGGCCCCCUGGACAAAGACUGACGCUCAGGUGCGAAAGCGUGGGGAGCAAACAGGAUUAGAUACCCUGGUAGUCCACGCCGUAAACGAUGUCGAUUUGGAGGUUGUGCCCUUGAGGCGUGGCUUCCGGAGCUAACGCGUUAAAUCGACCGCCUGGGGAGUACGGCCGCAAGGUUAAAACUCAAAUGAAUUGACGGGGGCCCGCACAAGCGGUGGAGCAUGUGGUUUAAUUCGAUGCAACGCGAAGAACCUUACCUGGUCUUGACAUCCACAGAACUUAGCAGAGAUGCUUUGGUGCCUUCGGGAACUGUGAGACAGGUGCUGCAUGGCUGUCGUCAGCUCGUGUUGUGAAAUGUUGGGUUAAGUCCCGCAACGAGCGCAACCCUUAUCCUUUGUUGCCAGCGGUCCGGCCGGGAACUCAAAGGAGACUGCCAGUGAUAAACUGGAGGAAGGUGGGGAUGACGUCAAGUCAUCAUGGCCCUUACGACCAGGGCUACACACGUGCUACAAUGGCGCAUACAAAGAGAAGCGACCUCGCGAGAGCAAGCGGACCUCAUAAAGUGCGUCGUAGUCCGGAUUGGAGUCUGCAACUCGACUCCAUGAAGUCGGAAUCGCUAGUAAUCGUAGAUCAGAAUGCUACGGUGAAUACGUUCCCGGGCCUUGUACACACCGCCCGUCACACCAUGGGAGUGGGUUGCAAAAGAAGUAGGUAGCUUAACCUUCGGGAGGGCGCUUACCAC